RNAcentral lists this ribosomal RNA (200 nucleotides) under uncultured bacterium. RNAcentral's name for it is "partial 16S ribosomal RNA". It matches the Rfam family "Bacterial small subunit ribosomal RNA", at positions 524 to 715 of the family's 1533-position model. The record is from RNAcentral.
UACAGAGGGUGCUAGCGUUGUUCGGAAGUCAUUGGGCGUAAAGGGCGUGUAGGCGGUUUGUUAAGUUCAUGUGUGAAAAUCCCCUCGGCUCAACCGGGGGAACGACGCAUGAAACUGGGCAAGCUAGAGUACCAAAGGAGGGGGUGGAAGUUCCCGGUGUAGCGGUGAAAUUCGUAGAUAAUUGGGAAGAACACCGGUGG